UACGAAGGGGGCUAGCGUUGUUCGGAAUUACUGGGCGUAAAGCGCGCGCAGGCGGCUAUCCAAGUCAGUGGUGAAAGCCCGGAGCUCAACUCCGGAACUGCCAUUGAAACUGUUUAGCUUGAGGACGAGAGAGGUGAGUGGAAUUCCCAGUGUAGAGGUGAAAUUCGUAGAUAUUGGGAAGAACACCGGUGGCGAAGGCGGCGACCUGGUCCUUUUACUGACGCUGAGGCGCGAAAGCGUGGGGAGCAAACAGG
RNAcentral lists this ribosomal RNA (254 nucleotides) under uncultured bacterium. Its description in RNAcentral is "partial 16S ribosomal RNA". It matches the Rfam family "Bacterial small subunit ribosomal RNA", at positions 524 to 776 of the family's 1533-position model. The record is from RNAcentral.